This 84-nucleotide transfer RNA is filed under the name Felis catus (domestic cat). It matches the Rfam family "tRNA". Rfam says of the family: Transfer RNA (tRNA) molecules are approximately 80 nucleotides in length. Their secondary structure includes four short double-helical elements and three loops (D, anti-codon, and T loops). Lineage: Eukaryota; Metazoa; Chordata; Mammalia; Carnivora; Felidae. The record is from Rfam by way of RNAcentral.
GCCUGGGUGGCUCAGUCGGUUGAGCAUCUGACUGACGCAGGUCAUGAUCUCACAGUUUGUGGGUUCGAGCCCCCACAUCGGGCU